UACGUAGGGUGCAAGCGUUGUCCGGAAUUAUUGGGCGUAAAGCGCUCGUAGGCGGUUUGUUGCGUCGGCUGUGAAAUCCCGAGGCUCAACCUCGGGUCUGCAGUCGAUACGAGCAAACUAGAGUGUUGCAGGGGAGACUGGAAUUCCUGGUGUAGCGGUGAAAUGCGCAGAUAUCAGGAGGAACACCGGUGGCGAAGGCGGGUCUCUGGGCAACAACUGACGCUGAGGAGCGAAAGCGUGGGGAGCGAACAGG
This 253-nucleotide ribosomal RNA is filed under the name uncultured bacterium. Its description in RNAcentral is "partial 16S ribosomal RNA". It matches the Rfam family "Bacterial small subunit ribosomal RNA", at positions 524 to 776 of the family's 1533-position model. The record is from RNAcentral.